This 227-nucleotide ribosomal RNA is filed under the name uncultured bacterium. RNAcentral's name for it is "partial 16S ribosomal RNA". It matches the Rfam family "Bacterial small subunit ribosomal RNA", at positions 15 to 230 of the family's 1533-position model. The record is from RNAcentral.
GAUCCUGGCUCAGGAUGAACGCUAGCUACAGGCUUAACACAUGCAAGUCGAGGGGCAGCAUGGUCUUAGCUUGCUAAGGUCUGAUGGCGACUGGCGCACGGGUGAGUAACACGUAUCCAACCUGCCGUCUACUCUUGGCCAGCCUUCUGAAAGGAAGAUUAAUCCAGGAUGGGAUCAUGAGUUCACAUGUCCGCAUGAUUAAAGGUAUUUUCCGGUAGACGAUGGGG